GGAUGAAGGUUUAAGGAUUGUAAACUCCUUUUGUUAGAGAAGAUAAUGACGGUAUCUAACGAAUAAGCACCGGCUAACUCCGUGCCAGCAGCCGCGGUAAUACGGAGGGUGCAAGCGUUACUCGGAAUCACUGGGCGUAAAGAGCGCGUAGGCGGGAUAGUCAGUCAGGUGUGAAAUCCUAUGGCUUAACCAUAGAACUGCAUUUGAAACUACUAUUCUAGAGUGUGGGAGAGGUAGGUGGAAUUCUUGGUGUAGGGGUAAAAUCCGUAGAGAUCAAGAGGAAUACUCAUUGCGAAGGCGACCUGCUGGAACAUUA
Molecule: ribosomal RNA, 316 nt
Filed under: Helicobacter pylori
Lineage: Bacteria; Pseudomonadati; Campylobacterota; Epsilonproteobacteria; Campylobacterales; Helicobacteraceae
Description: bacterial SSU rRNA
Rfam family: Bacterial small subunit ribosomal RNA
Source: RNAcentral